Schizosaccharomyces pombe (fission yeast) is the source of this 1111-nucleotide non-coding RNA. NCBI's taxonomy places the organism in Eukaryota, Fungi, Ascomycota, Schizosaccharomycetes, Schizosaccharomycetales, Schizosaccharomycetaceae. The record is from the annotation of a GenBank genome assembly.
CCCAGCUUCUCUUUGUAUACUAGAUUAACUGUUAGUCAUAAUUUAAUCAAACUUUAGUUAAAACAGUAUAUAGUUUACGACAUACCCAUCUACUACAAACUCCAAAUCUUUACCAGGCUCCAGAAUAUUUCCAUCAUUUGUCUUCCAACGACCUUGUUCUUCCGUAGUAUCGGGCUCAAUAAAAAUCCAAUCUUUAGGUAUAGAUUUUCGCGGAAUAGAUGCAUUAAAAAUACCCAAAAUUAAUAGACCAAUAUGACUUGGACUGACUAAAUUAAUUUUUCCUUCUAGUGAUAGUUAGCAUUUAUUUUGGAGUUGGUAUAAAAUUUUGCACGACUGAAUUAUCAUGAUACAAAUCCAUCAUAGAAUCUCGAAUUUCUAAGCAUUUCAUACCUAAACAAUCGCCUUUUUUGGGAGAAAAUACUAAAACGUCUACACGGACCCAUAUAAAGGAGAAUGGGGAGUCAUACAUGACCUUUGCACUUUUUUCCAGGAAUCGAAUAUUGUCGUACGCCAACACUAUUCCAUUGAUUCUUGGGAGUUUGCUAAGAAUCAUACUAUCCAUAUGCUCCUGAAUAGCAUUUAAAGGAUCCCUGCUGUGUCCAGGAGCAAUGGAAAGGUAUAAAUCUACAGUCUGUUUGUAGAGUGAUAAAUCCGGCAUGUUGGCGGAACGCAAAUUUCCUUCAUCGACUGCAUCCAGUUUUACAGAUAUGUUCAAGGGUAAACAAAGCUCUUCAAUUGAUCAACCAAGGUCAUAUAUAACAUAUCAUGUCUUCGAGAAAGGUUAACAGCUAAAUAGGCGAUACUAUGGCAUCAAUAGAAAUGCCAAUUCUGUAAAUGACACCAUGUCACUACAGUGCUCAAGACAUUGAAAUUUUUUUUUUAAUUACAAUAAGAAAUACUUUACCUUUUUUUUCUCUUAUUUAAAUGAAGAAUAUUAUUGAGACAAAAUAAGUGAAUCGCUCAUUACUAUACAAAUAGUGUCUAUUUAAUAUAGCUAAAAUUAUUUCAAGAUUUUUUUGAUAUCUUAUUGAAAAAAAGAUUUUGUAACGCGACUACCAUGGAAUGGUUGCCAUAUUCUAAGAUGUUCCCAAAUAAAUAGUCAAUUCUUAAC